AGCGGCGGAUGGGUGAGUAACACGUGGGGAACCUGCCCCUAAGUCUGGGAUACCAUUUGGAAACAGGUGCUAAUACCGGAUAAUAAAGCAGAUCGCAUGAUCAGCUUUUGAAAGGCGGCGUAAGCUGUCGCUAAGGGAUGGCCCCGCGGUGCAUUAGCUAGUUGGUGAGGUAACGGCUUACCAAGGCGACGAUGCAUAGCCGAGUUGAGAGACUGAUCGGCCACAUUGGGACUGAGACACGGCCCAAACUCCUACGGGAGGCAGCAGUAGGGAAUCUUCCACAAUGGACGCAAGUCUGAUGGAGCAACGCCGCGUGAGUGAAGAAGGUUUUCGGAUCGUAAAGCUCAGUUGUUGGUGAAGAAGGAUAGAGGUAGUAACUGGCCUUUAUUUGACGGUAAUCAACCAGAAAGUCACGGCUAACUACGUGCCAGCAGCCGCGGUAAUACGUAGGUGGCAAGCGUUGUCCGGAUUUGUUGGGCGUAAAGCGAGCGCAGGCGGAAAAAUAAGUCUAAUGUGAAAGCCCUCGGCUUAACCGAGGAACUGCAUCGGAAACUGUUCUUCUUGAGUGCAGAAGAGGAGAGUGGAACUCCAUGUGUAGCGGUGGAAUGCGUAGAUAUAUGGAAGAACACCAGUGGCGAAGGCGGCUCUCUGGUCUGCAACUGACGCUGAGGCUCGAAAGCAUGGGUAGCGAACAGGAUUAGAUACCCUGGUAGUCCAUGCUGUAAACGAUGAGUGCUAAGUGU
This 743-nucleotide ribosomal RNA is filed under the name uncultured bacterium. RNAcentral describes it as "bacterial SSU rRNA". It matches the Rfam family "Bacterial small subunit ribosomal RNA", at positions 94 to 823 of the family's 1533-position model. The record is from RNAcentral.